GGCCCCAGGGUGUAACACAUCAGAUUGCAAAUCUGAAGACGCAGACUAAGACCUGCUGGGGCUU
This 64-nucleotide transfer RNA is filed under the name Apeltes quadracus (fourspine stickleback). RNAcentral describes it as "tRNA-Cys". It matches the Rfam family "tRNA". Rfam says of the family: Transfer RNA (tRNA) molecules are approximately 80 nucleotides in length. Their secondary structure includes four short double-helical elements and three loops (D, anti-codon, and T loops). The record is from RNAcentral. Lineage: Eukaryota; Metazoa; Chordata; Actinopteri; Perciformes; Gasterosteidae.